CCAGAAACCUAACCAGCGAAAGGCUACAGAUUUCUUCACAUUGUCCAAUCCGGAGGAGCGAUGUUUCAAUGAUUAAUCAGAACUUCUUCCUAUGUUGGGGUUAUUCAAUAAUAUUCCUGAAGAUCAGGCAGAUGGGAUGAGGGCUAUUGAAAGAAGCAGCCAAAUGAAGAGGAUUGUGGAAGUACUUUGUUGCUGUUUGUGGAUGCAUCCUUUGUGGUAUAAAAUGGUAAAACAUAGAAUUCAUAUAUAUAUAUACUCAUUUGCUCUUAGUUACUUCUUGUUAUAUCUCAGUAGCAGGGUAUAUUUUAUGUUAGUUAAUACUUAAUGGACUUGAUAACGUAAA
This is a long non-coding RNA of Macadamia integrifolia, 343 nucleotides long. RefSeq lists it as uncharacterized. The record is from RefSeq and is a predicted model, not a curated record. The transcript has 2 exons. NCBI's taxonomy places the organism in Eukaryota, Viridiplantae, Streptophyta, Magnoliopsida, Proteales, Proteaceae.